RNAcentral lists this long non-coding RNA (567 nucleotides) under Ananas comosus (pineapple). RNAcentral describes it as "long non-coding RNA (ACOM_LNC005933)". Lineage: Eukaryota; Viridiplantae; Streptophyta; Magnoliopsida; Poales; Bromeliaceae. The record is from RNAcentral.
AUAUAUUAUUUUGUAUCGAUUAGAAUGAUAACUGUCAAAAUUUGAAAGGGGUUUUAGUUCAUUAAAGUCAAAUUUUCAUGUAAAAAAAAAAAAUUGUUUCGCGGUAUUAGAAAAUAUGGAUCAUAAAAACUGUGUCAAUGUGUGUGUGUGUGUGUGUGUGUGUGUAUAGAGUAAGGCUACUAUGCUAUCGGAAGCACGUAGCAUUCUGUACUUCCAGCUCGUUUUCGAUUGCGACUUUCAAAUCGUCGAUCGACUCCGUUAAACUUGAUCUAGAGUAUUUGAAGUAGCUAGAAAAUAAAUUAUGCGAUUUUUCGAUAUUAUUUACCUAGUGAACGAAGGUGCUCAAAAUCAACGGCUGAAAAUAAAAAUUUUACAAAACAUGAUAAUAUGACAUUAAAAUUUUAGAUCAAAGAUAUUGAUCUUGUUUUAUAUAGUGUAAAAAAUUUUCUAUCAAAAUUUCACGUGAUUUGGAUAUUUCUACGCCGUUAAACUUGCAAACGGCUUACUACGGCCAUUAAAAUUAUUGAUUUUGAGCCCCUUCGAUCACUAAGCCAAAUGAUAUCGAAA